CAGCAGCCGCGGUAAUACGAAGGGGGCUAGCGUUGUUCGGAUUUACUGGGCGUAAAGGGCGCGUAGGCGGACUGAUAAGUCAGGGGUGAAAUCCCAAGGCUCAACCUUGGAACUGCCUUUGAUACUGUUUGUCUUGAGUUCGAGAGAGGUAAGUGGAACUGCGAGUGUAGAGGUGAAAUUCGUAGAUAUUCGCAAGAACACCAGUGGCGAAGGCGGCUUACUGGCUCGAAACUGACGCUGAGGCGCGAAAGCGUGGGGAGCAAACAGGAUUAGAGACCCGCGUAGUCCCUGUCUCUUAUAC
Molecule: ribosomal RNA, 301 nt
Filed under: uncultured bacterium
Lineage: Bacteria
Description: partial 16S ribosomal RNA
Rfam family: Bacterial small subunit ribosomal RNA
Source: RNAcentral